Molecule: transfer RNA, 72 nt
Filed under: Nanobdellota archaeon
Lineage: Archaea; Nanobdellati; Nanobdellota
Description: tRNA-Ala
Rfam family: tRNA
About the family: Transfer RNA (tRNA) molecules are approximately 80 nucleotides in length. Their secondary structure includes four short double-helical elements and three loops (D, anti-codon, and T loops).
Source: RNAcentral
GGGCUGUUAGUUCAGUGGUAGAACGCCCGCUUUGCAAGCGGGAGGCCGUGGGUUCAAAUCCCACACAGUCCA